Molecule: ribosomal RNA, 403 nt
Filed under: uncultured bacterium
Lineage: Bacteria
Description: partial 16S ribosomal RNA
Rfam family: Bacterial small subunit ribosomal RNA
Source: RNAcentral
AUUGAACGCUGGCGGCAGGCCUAACACAUGCAAGUCGAGCGAGCGGCGGACGGGUGAGUAAUGUAUGGGGACUGCCCGAUAGAGGGGGAUAACUACUGGAAACGGUGGCUACUACCGCAUACUAUCGGAUAACCCAUAUGUGAUUAGCUAGUAGGUGGGGUAAAGGCUCACCUAGGCGACGAUCUCUAGCUGGUCUGAGAGGCUGAUCAGGCACAUGGGGACGGAGGUGCGGCCCAGACUCCAACGGAGGCAGCAGUGGGGAAGAGGGCACAAUGGGCGCAAGCCUGAUGCAGCCAUGCCGCGUGUAUGAAGAAGGCCUUAGGGUUGUAAAGUACUUUCAGCGGGUAGGGGUUACCCGCAGAAGAUGCACCGGCUAACGCCGUGCCAGCAGCCGCGGUAAUUC